Molecule: ribosomal RNA, 497 nt
Filed under: uncultured bacterium
Lineage: Bacteria
Description: partial 16S ribosomal RNA
Rfam family: Bacterial small subunit ribosomal RNA
Source: RNAcentral
AAUGAACGCUGGCGGCGUGCCUAAUACAUGCAAGUCGAGCGAACAGACGAGGAGCUUGCUCCUCUGACGUUAUCGGCGGACGGGUGAGUACCACGUGGAUAACCUACCUCUAAGACUGGGAUAACUUCGGGAAACCGUAGCUAAUACCGGAUAAUAUAUUGAACCGCAUGGUUCACUAGUGAAAGACGGUUUUGCUGUCACUUAUAGAUUGAUCCGCGCCGCAUUAGCUAGUUGGUAAGGUAACGGCUUACCAAGGCAGCGAUGCGUAGCCGACCUGAGAGGGUGAUCGGACACACUGGAAGUGAGACUGGUUCCAGACUCCGACGGGAGGCAGCAGUAGGGAAUCUUCCGGGAUGGGCGAGAGCCUGACGGAGCAACGCCGCGUGAGUGAUGAAGGUCUACGGAUCGUAAAGCUCUGUUAUUAUGGAAGAACAAAAGUGUAAGUAACUAUGCACGUCUUGACGGUACCUAAUCAGAAAGCCACGGCUAACUACGUG